RNAcentral lists this ribosomal RNA (256 nucleotides) under uncultured bacterium. RNAcentral's name for it is "partial 16S ribosomal RNA". It matches the Rfam family "Bacterial small subunit ribosomal RNA", at positions 524 to 777 of the family's 1533-position model. The record is from RNAcentral.
UACAGAGGGUGCAAGCGUUAAUCGGAAUUACUGGGCGUAAAGCGCGCGUAGGUGGUUUGUUAAGUUGAAUGUGAAAUCCCCGGGCUCAACCUGGGAACUGCAUGCAAAACUGGCAAGCUAGAGUAUGGUAGAGGGUGGUGGAAUUUCCUGUGUAGCGGUGAAAUGCGUAGAUAUAGGAAGGAACACCAGUGGCGAAAGGCGACCACCUGGACUGAUACUGACACUGAGGUGACGAAAGCGUGGGGAGCAAACAGGA